CCUACGGGGGGCAGCAGUGGGGAAUAUUGGACAAUGGGGGCAACCCUGAUCCAGCCAUGCCGCGUGUGUGAAGAAGGCCCUCGGGUUGUAAAGCACUUUCAGUGAGGAAGAACGCCUGGUGGUUAAUACCCAUCAGGAAAGACAUCACUCACAGAAGAAGCACCGGCUAACUCCGUGCCAGCAGCCGCGGUAAUACGGAGGGUGCGAGCGUUAAUCGGAAUUACUGGGCGUAAAGCGCGCGUAGGUGGCUUGAUAAGCCGGCUGUGAAAGCCCCGGGCUCAACCUGGGAACGGCAUCCGGAACUGUCAAGCUAGAGUGCAGGAGAGGAAGGUAGAAUUCCCGGUGUAGCGGUGAAAUGCGUAGAGAUCGGGAGGAAUACCAGUGGCGAAGGCGGCCUUCUGGACUGACACUGACACUGAGGUGCGAAAGCGUGGGUAGCAAACAGGAUUAGAUACCCGGGUAGUC
This 465-nucleotide ribosomal RNA is filed under the name Vreelandella stevensii. RNAcentral's name for it is "partial 16S ribosomal RNA". It matches the Rfam family "Bacterial small subunit ribosomal RNA", at positions 338 to 795 of the family's 1533-position model. The record is from RNAcentral. Lineage: Bacteria; Pseudomonadati; Pseudomonadota; Gammaproteobacteria; Oceanospirillales; Halomonadaceae.